GCGUGUCUCUGAUAAUGCAAUAACAUCUGCUUCUAAUAUAUUUUAUUCUUUACGAAGCUCAUCAAUAUGUAAGUGUAAAGAUCUGGUAUUAUGGAAGACAAUAGUAAGUUUGGAUAUAUUAUUGUUUAUAAUAUUCUGACAAAGACUUAAUUGAGCAUCUUCUCUCAUUCUCUCCAUUUAGAGUAUGACUUAUGGACUAACAGCUAAUUUUUCUUCAUUAAGUGCAAGAAUAUUUAACCCAGACAUUUUUUUGCUUUGCUUAUACCGACUCAAUGCAUGUGCUGAUUCCGUCUGCUUCCAAAGUGGACUGCAACAGUUUCAAGAGUUGAACCCUGUGAUUUGUGAAUGGUUUUAGCUGCUGACAGUCUUAUCGGAAACUGUCUCCUUAGAAAUUUGUUUGUCUGAUUGUUGGCUACACAAAAUGUCCUUGAAAUCUCAAAUAUAGG
RNAcentral lists this long non-coding RNA (446 nucleotides) under Mytilus galloprovincialis (Mediterranean mussel). The record is from RNAcentral. Lineage: Eukaryota; Metazoa; Mollusca; Bivalvia; Mytilida; Mytilidae.